GAUUGCUCCAGCCGCAUCCCAGGGAGAGUGGUGGAGCUGCUUCUCAUUUCUGUCCCCCUCACCCACUGAGAUUCUGCUCUCCGGAACUCCAGUUUUCUCACCUGUGAAGUGAGCUUGGAAGGAUUUUAUGAGCCUAUAGGAUGUGGAAAAUCUUCCAACUCAACUCAAGUCAACCCAACUCAGCUCAGCUUAUUUCAACAACUCCACCACUCAACUCAGCUCAGUUCAACUUAACUUACCUCAACUCCCUUCACUCUACCUCACCUCAACUCAAUAACUCAACUCAUCUUGGAUCAGUUCAGCUCACCUCCACUGACCUCGCCCCAGCUCAGCCCCUUCCCUCAGGGCCAAGUCAAUUCAGCUCAGACCAGCUCAACUCAAGAGCUCAAGUCAAUGCAACAUCCCAGUGUCUUCCUUUCCCUUCUGUGAAAUGGGCCUGUGCUGCUAUUUUUUAGGGUGGUUAUGGGAAUAGAUCAAUAAUUCUGCCAACUCUAGAUUUGGCAAAGAAGGAUGCCUGGACCCCAACUUAGAGAACCACCUAUGCAGACAGGGGAGGAAGAUGCCCAGCACACAGCAGGGCCCAUGGCUGUAUUAUGUUUGUAGUAUGCUUGGUCUGUAUCAUGCCUGCCUCAGUGCCCUCCUUCCAGAGCUGGCAGACAAAGGACUUAGGCUAGGAUGUAGGAAUUUGAGCUGAGCCCAGGACAUAAACAGAUACCCAGUGCCUCCCUGAGCCAGGACCCCAAGGGAAGUCUAUGAAGGCUGAUUCCCAGUUACUCUGUCCUCUGUCCCUGAAGCCCUUGAGUAACUUAUUUAACUUCUCUGAGCCUCAGUCUCACCAUCCCUACAGUGAGGAGUUCUUAGACUUACCUCUUGCUUGUUCUGACAGGGUUCUUCUUAGAUUGGACAAAUAAUCUUAUCCCUGGCUGCAUCUGCAAAGGGCAAGCCCCGCUGUGCGUAAUUCCAAGCACAGAAGGAGUCACAGUGGGGCGAGCUCUCUGCCGGUCUUGGGGAAAGAGUUACUUAUACUCAAAACUGCUUGUUCAGGGGACUUGACUAUCUCUUUGGGAAAGAAAAGGACCAUGGCCUGUGAAAGCCCCAUUCACUCUGGCCAGGGUAGGUCGUGGCUGAGCUUGGAGAAGCAGGGCCUGCUUCCGGGCCUGAAUUUCAGAUUUAAAUACUCUGUGUGCCUAACAAGUGCGUCUCAACAGCCUCAGUUUUGGGAAGCUCAUGGAGGCCCGUGUACGGCAUCUUCAUAAAGUCAAAAUAAAGUUGAGUUGUUGAGCUGAU
Erinaceus europaeus (western European hedgehog) is the source of this 1287-nucleotide long non-coding RNA. RefSeq lists it as uncharacterized. NCBI's taxonomy places the organism in Eukaryota, Metazoa, Chordata, Mammalia, Eulipotyphla, Erinaceidae. The transcript is spliced from 2 exons. The record is from RefSeq and is a predicted model, not a curated record.